AUACGUAGGUGCCAAGCGUUAUCCGGAUUUACUGGGCGUAAAGGGCGUGUAGGCGGUCUUGCAAGUCAGAAGUGAAAUUCCUGAGCUCAACUCGGGCGCUGCUUCUGAAACUGCAGGACUUGAGUGCUGGAGGGGAUAGCGGAAUUCCUAGUGGAGCGGUAAAAUGCGCAGAUAUUAGGAAGAACACCGGUGGCGGAGGCGGCGGUUAGCAGAGCAGAAACGGACGAUUGGGCACGGACGGAGGGGGAGAAAUCAUGAGAUAAUACCCUGGUAGUCCACGCCGUCAACGAGGAAUACUAGGUGUAGGGGGUAUCGACUCCCUCUGUGCCGCAGUUAACACAAUAAGUAUUCCGCCUGGGGAGUACGGUCGCAAGGUUGAAACUCAAAUGAAUUGACGGGG
This 400-nucleotide ribosomal RNA is filed under the name uncultured bacterium. RNAcentral describes it as "partial 16S ribosomal RNA". It matches the Rfam family "Bacterial small subunit ribosomal RNA", at positions 523 to 918 of the family's 1533-position model. The record is from RNAcentral.